This 274-nucleotide ribosomal RNA is filed under the name uncultured bacterium. RNAcentral's name for it is "partial 16S ribosomal RNA". It matches the Rfam family "Bacterial small subunit ribosomal RNA", at positions 523 to 796 of the family's 1533-position model. The record is from RNAcentral.
CUACGGAGGGUGCGAGCGUUAAUCGGAAUUACUGGGCGUAAAGCGCGCGUAGGCGGAUAAUUAAGUCAGAUGUGAAAUCCCCGGGCUCAACCUGGGAACUGCAUUUGAUACUGAUUAACUAGAGUAUGGUAGAGGUGAGUGGAAUUUCCGGUGUAGCGGUGAAAUGCGUAGAGAUCGGAAGGAACACCAGUGGCGAAGGCGACUCACUGGGCCAUUACUGACGCUGAGGUGCGAAAGCGUGGGUAGCAAACAGGAUUAGAUACCCUAGUAGUCC